UACGGAGGGGGCGAGCGUUAUUCGGAAUUAUUGGGCGUAAAGGGCGCGUAGGCGGCUGUACAAGUCAAAGGUGAAAUCCCCGUCGGCUCAACUGAGGAACUGCCUUUGAAACUGUACGGCUUGAGGCCGGGAGGGGGUAGCGGAAUUCCCAGUGUAGCGGUGAAAUGCGUAGAUACUGGGAGGAACACCAGUGGCGAAGGCGCUGACCUGGACCGGUUCUGACGCUGAGGCGCGAAAGCGUGGGUAGCAAACAGG
RNAcentral lists this ribosomal RNA (255 nucleotides) under uncultured bacterium. RNAcentral describes it as "partial 16S ribosomal RNA". It matches the Rfam family "Bacterial small subunit ribosomal RNA", at positions 524 to 776 of the family's 1533-position model. The record is from RNAcentral.